GCAGAGCAUAUUCUAUAUGCGUCAAAGAAAAUGCUAAACCGUCAGAGCUACGCUUGAUGCACCACUACCUUUCUACCCCCACAUCCUCAUGCCCUCACCUGUUUAUCCCCACAUCCACAUGUCCUCACCACCUGCUUCUUUGUCUGAUCACCAAUAAAUAGUGUGGGAUCCCAGAGCUCGGGGCCUUCACAGCCUCCAUACCAGUGUUGGCCCUGUGGACCCACCUUAUGUACUCUUAACUUGUCUUUUCUCAUUCCUUUGACUCCUCCGGACUUCGUAGCCCCCACGGCCUGGUGUUGGGUCUGAUCACCCCAACAUUUCUGGCGCCCAACAUGGGGCUAUGAAGACCCCGGUGAAGGAAUGCUAGAGCAUGUGGAAGCAGAAGAUGCAUUGUCAGAGGACACCGAGGAUGACUGAAAGAAGCUCGGCGGAUCACCCUCUCUGGAAGGAAUCAACUGCCUUGUCAUGAGGAUACUCACACAGUCUUACGGAGAAGUCAAAGAACCGAGGUCUCCUGCCAACAGCUGGGUGAGUGAGCCAUCUUGGAUGAAAAUCCUCCAGCCCCAGUCAAGCCUUCAAAUGACUGCAGCCCUGGCUGAAAAAUUAAAUGCAACAUAUGAGAGACCCUAAGGCAGAAUCACCCAGAGACAGGAUCUCACCAUGUAACCCAUGCUGAUCUUCUUGAACUCCAAGGCUCAAGGGAUCCUCCAGACUUUGCCUCCCAAAGUGUUGGAAUUACAUGCAUGAGCCACCGCACUCAGCCCCUCAAGUAAUUUCCAAAAAUUAUGCAGUGCAAAGAGUUUUAUGUAUUAGGUAUACAUUUUUCAUAAUUUACACAGUAUUUUCACAUACAUUAUCUCAUUUGAUCCUAAAUGGACUUUGUUAAGCAGUUAUUAUCCACAUAUUCCAAAUAAGGAAACUGAAGCCCAGAGAAGAACUUGAAAAUCCUGUUCUUCAAGGUGGGAGAAUUGCUUGAGGCCAGUAGUUCAAGACCAGCCUGAGUAACAGAGGGAGUCUCCAUCUCUCCAAAUAAUAAUAAUAAUAAUAAAUGAUAUAGGCGUGGUGGCAUGUGCCUGUGAUCCCAGCUACUCAGGAGGCUGAGGCAGGACAAUCACCUGAGCCCAGGAAGUCAAGACAGCAGUAAGCCAUGACUGGGUCACUGUACUCCAGCCUAGAUGACAGAGCAAGACCUCCUCUCAAUCAAUCAAUCAAUCAAUCAGAACAAUAUGCAUUUGACAUCUAUGGCCCCUGCAUUUUCACGAGAGGAUUACUACCUUCUUUACAGAUGGCUUUAGAUUUGGAGGCUGGCUAAGCAUAAAAUUAAAAGACGUCAUGCUUGGAAUAGCCCUUUUAAGAAACACUUAACUCCUUUACUUAAUAGACAAGUGCACUGAACCACUCAUAAUUUUUUAAAUUAUUUUUAUUUUAAUAAUUAUUUUAUUUAUUAAGACACAA
This 1455-nucleotide long non-coding RNA is filed under the name Homo sapiens (human). RNAcentral's name for it is "HSALNT0347164". Lineage: Eukaryota; Metazoa; Chordata; Mammalia; Primates; Hominidae. The record is from RNAcentral.